Long non-coding RNA from Salvia miltiorrhiza (redroot sage), 1201 nucleotides. RefSeq lists it as uncharacterized. The transcript has 3 exons. The record is from RefSeq and is a predicted model, not a curated record. NCBI's taxonomy places the organism in Eukaryota, Viridiplantae, Streptophyta, Magnoliopsida, Lamiales, Lamiaceae.
CGAAGCAUCAAACAACCGCCUUACUUAUUUUUUUAUCCACAUCCAUCUUCAUCACCGCCAUUGUUUUUGUAUCAUAUUUAUUCAUCUUAUUCCUAGCUCUGUAACUUACAAAUCAUAAUUUUUACACAGCAAGCAGAUUUCUCUUUUCGGUGCGGCGCGACUAGGACGUUACUUUUAUUUGAUUUACUCAAGUUAGCAUACAAGUUGAAGUUCAAGUUAAAGUUCAAAUACAGGUUUUUAAAGGCCGGAGGCGCGUGGAAGGUCGAAUGGCGAGUCAAAUAUUUUGAAUUUAGUUUUUCUGAAAAAUGUUAUGUUUAGUAAAGUAUUUUAAAUAAAAUAUUUAUUUUGUUAUUUUUCACAUUAAAUAUUUAAUUAUAUGCAUAGUUUUUCCGCGUGCGUUUUCAUUUAAAAUUAAAAUGGAUUUGGGUGUCACACCCCCAUUUCCAACUCGCCACUUCCUCACCCGCCGGCCGCCGCCGCCUCUCCCGCCCGCCCGCCGCAUGCCGCCCUCUCCAGUUCUCCCGCACGCCCCGCCCCUCUAAAGUUCUCCCGCUCGCCGCCUGUCUCGCCUCACGCCCCGCCUGCCGCCUCACUCCCAUCUCCGACCGUCUCCCUCUCCAGAUCGCCCUUCGCCGCCGCCUCACUCACCCGACCACCCACUCCAGUUCUCGCCUCCUCCGUCAUCUCGCUGACCAGCUCGCCGCCUAACUCCACUGCCGCUGCCAUUUAGACAUGUCUACCACAUGAUAUUCUCAAUCCACAUGAUGCUCUCAAUCCAGGGUUAGAUUUUGAUUUCUGAAAUUGUGUUAGAUGUUGAUUUUGAUUUGAUUCUAAUUUAUGUAGUUGUGUUAGAUUCUGAUUUUGGAUUUUAUUUCUGAAAUUGUGAGAAAUUCUGAUUUAUGAAGUUGUGAUACAUUGAUGAUGACAAGGUUCAUGUUGUUGAAUCCAAAGCACCAAAGAAAUAUGGUGAUUACUUUAUGCGCCAAAUUGUCAAGCUUGAAGGGAUAAUGACUGAUAUCAACAGAAUAAAGCUGGAGUAAGAAUUAGAGUCUUGCUGUAUGAUUUGCCCUUUUCAUGGUUUUUGAAUGGCCCCUAAGAGGAAGAAAGAACUGGGGCAGUUUUGUGGCGUCAUUUUUAUUGCAUGAAUGUAUUUUGUGCAAUAUUUUUCAUAAUGAAAAUUAGAUGUUGAUUUUGUGAAUUA